GCGGACGUGGCGGAACUGGCAGACGCGCCGGAUUUAGGUUCCGGUACCGCAAGGUAUGGAGGUUCAAGUCCUCUCGUCCGCA
This 82-nucleotide transfer RNA is filed under the name Planctomycetaceae bacterium. RNAcentral's name for it is "tRNA-Leu". It matches the Rfam family "tRNA". Rfam says of the family: Transfer RNA (tRNA) molecules are approximately 80 nucleotides in length. Lineage: Bacteria; Pseudomonadati; Planctomycetota; Planctomycetia; Planctomycetales; Planctomycetaceae. The record is from RNAcentral.